RNAcentral lists this ribosomal RNA (322 nucleotides) under uncultured eukaryote. RNAcentral describes it as "partial 18S ribosomal RNA". It matches the Rfam family "Eukaryotic small subunit ribosomal RNA", at positions 1470 to 1796 of the family's 1831-position model. The record is from RNAcentral.
CCCUUAGAUGUUCUGGGCCGCACGCGUGCUACAUUGAGUAAUUCAAUGGGUAAGGGAACGCUAGAGCAUUACCUAAUCUUGAAAUUUGCUCGUGAUGGGGAUCGACGGUUGCAAUUUUCCGUCGUGAACGAGGAAUACCUUGUAGGCGCAUGUCAUCAUCAUGCGCCGAAUACGUCCCUGCCCUUUGUACACACCGCCCGUCGCUCCUACCGAUUGAGUGAUCCGGUGAGGCUCUGGGACCUGGACGGAAAGAGCGUUUCGCUUGUUCUGUUUGGGAAACUUGGUCGAACCUUAUCAUUUAGAGGAAGGAGAAGUCGUAACA